CCACCGGUGGACUACUAAACUCUUGUUAAUUUUUGUCAAAUCUGAAUCAAAACUAAGAAAUAAGUUAAAACUUUCAACAACGGAUCUCUUGGUUCUGGCAUCGAUGAAGAACGCAGCGAAAUGCGAUAAGUAAUGUGAAUUGCAGAAUUCAGUGAAUCAUCGAAUCUUUGAACGCACAUUGCGCCCAUUAGUAUUCUAGUGGGCAUGCCUGUUCGAGCGUCAUUUCAACCCUUAAGCCUAGCUUAGUGUUGGGAGACUGCCUAAUACGCAGCUCCUCAAAACCAGUGGCGGAGUCUGUUCGUGCUCUGAGCGUAGUAAUUUUUUAUCUCGCUUCUGCAAGCCGGCCAGACGACAGCCAUAAACCGCACCCUCUCGGGGGGCACUUUUUUAAUGGUUGACCUCGGAUCAGGUAGGAAUACCCGCUGAACUUAAGCAUAUC
This 439-nucleotide ribosomal RNA is filed under the name uncultured fungus. RNAcentral describes it as "eukaryotic LSU rRNA". The stretch from base 69 to 222 matches the Rfam family "5.8S ribosomal RNA". Lineage: Eukaryota; Fungi. The record is from RNAcentral.